This 221-nucleotide ribosomal RNA is filed under the name uncultured bacterium. Its description in RNAcentral is "partial 16S ribosomal RNA". It matches the Rfam family "Bacterial small subunit ribosomal RNA", at positions 110 to 334 of the family's 1533-position model. The record is from RNAcentral.
GUAAUGUAUGGGGAUCUGCCUGAUGGCGGGGGGUAACUACUGGAAACGGUAGCUAAUACCGCAUAAUGUCUACGGACCAAAGCGGGGGACCUCCGGGCCUCGCGCCAUCAGAUGAACCCAUAUGGGAUUAGCUAGUAGGUGAGGUAACGGCUUACCUAGGCGACGAUCCCUAGCUGGUCUGAGAGGAUGAUCAGCCACACUGGGACUGAGACACGGCCCAG